Molecule: ribosomal RNA, 1527 nt
Filed under: Lactiplantibacillus plantarum
Lineage: Bacteria; Bacillati; Bacillota; Bacilli; Lactobacillales; Lactobacillaceae
Description: bacterial SSU rRNA
Rfam family: Bacterial small subunit ribosomal RNA
Source: RNAcentral
GAGUUUGAUCAUGGCUCAGGACGAACGCUGGCGGCGUGCCUAAUACAUGCAAGUCGAACGAACUCUGGUAUUGAUUGGUGCUUGCAUCAUGAUUUACAUUUGAGUGAGUGGCGAACUGGUGAGUAACACGUGGGAAACCUGCCCAGAAGCGGGGGAUAACACCUGGAAACAGAUGCUAAUACCGCAUAACAACUUGGACCGCAUGGUCCGAGUUUGAAAGAUGGCUUCGGCUAUCACUUUUGGAUGGUCCCGCGGCGUAUUAGCUAGAUGGUGGGGUAACGGCUCACCAUGGCAAUGAUACGUAGCCGACCUGAGAGGGUAAUCGGCCACAUUGGGACUGAGACACGGCCCAAACUCCUACGGGAGGCAGCAGUAGGGAAUCUUCCACAAUGGACGAAAGUCUGAUGGAGCAACGCCGCGUGAGUGAAGAAGGGUUUCGGCUCGUAAAACUCUGUUGUUAAAGAAGAACAUAUCUGAGAGUAACUGUUCAGGUAUUGACGGUAUUUAACCAGAAAGCCACGGCUAACUACGUGCCAGCAGCCGCGGUAAUACGUAGGUGGCAAGCGUUGUCCGGAUUUAUUGGGCGUAAAGCGAGCGCAGGCGGUUUUUUAAGUCUGAUGUGAAAGCCUUCGGCUCAACCGAAGAAGUGCAUCGGAAACUGGGAAACUUGAGUGCAGAAGAGGACAGUGGAACUCCAUGUGUAGCGGUGAAAUGCGUAGAUAUAUGGAAGAACACCAGUGGCGAAGGCGGCUGUCUGGUCUGUAACUGACGCUGAGGCUCGAAAGUAUGGGUAGCAAACAGGAUUAGAUACCCUGGUAGUCCAUACCGUAAACGAUGAAUGCUAAGUGUUGGAGGGUUUCCGCCCUUCAGUGCUGCAGCUAACGCAUUAAGCAUUCCGCCUGGGGAGUACGGCCGCAAGGCUGAAACUCAAAGGAAUUGACGGGGGCCCGCACAAGCGGUGGAGCAUGUGGUUUAAUUCGAAGCUACGCGAAGAACCUUACCAGGUCUUGACAUACUAUGCAAAUCUAAGAGAUUAGACGUUCCCUUCGGGGACAUGGAUACAGGUGGUGCAUGGUUGUCGUCAGCUCGUGUCGUGAGAUGUUGGGUUAAGUCCCGCAACGAGCGCGACCCUUAUUAUCAGUUGCCAGCAUUAAGUUGGGCACUCUGGUGAGACUGCCGGUGACAAACCGGAGGAAGGUGGGGAUGACGUCAAAUCAUCAUGCCCCUUAUGACCUGGGCUACACACGUGCUACAAUGGAUGGUACAACGAGUUGCGAACUCGCGAGAGUAAGCUAAUCUCUUAAAGCCAUUCUCAGUUCGGAUUGUAGGCUGCAACUCGCCUACAUGAAGUCGGAAUCGCUAGUAAUCGCGGAUCAGCAUGCCGCGGUGAAUACGUUCCCGGGCCUUGUACACACCGCCCGUCACACCAUGAGAGUUUGUAACACCCAAAGUCGGUGGGGUAACCUUUUAGGAACCAGCCGCCUAAGGUGGGACAGAUGAUUAGGGUGAAGUCGUAACAAGGUAACC